This is a long non-coding RNA of Gallus gallus (chicken), 3297 nucleotides long. The record is from Ensembl. NCBI's taxonomy places the organism in Eukaryota, Metazoa, Chordata, Aves, Galliformes, Phasianidae.
GAACAUUAUCCUCUGCUCAUUUAUGAUCUGGAUAAAAUCAGAGCUGGUGGGUGCCCCAGUGCUGCACUGAUGAGAUAUCAAUUUUUACAGGGUGAAGGUUACCUUGUCACCUCAGGCUAUGCUGCAAAGCCAUUUAAGGUAAUAUUUUCACCUGAAAGUACCUUUUAGGACAUAGCUUCACCAGACCUAAGUCUCUUGCGAUAACAGCUGGAGGAAGUCCUGCUUUCGCCUUGCUGCCCACCACUCCUUCAAGGCAGGGUCUUCACAAGAGGUGAAGCAAACUCUAUAAAAAUAAAAAGUGUGUUUUCUUUUUUAGCUCGUAUCACCCAGCUAUCUGACCACAGCAGAGGGGAGCUGCGUUGGCAUAUCUGAGAGAGGUGCAGUGAUGUGGGUCCCAGCAGGGGUUGAGGAAAGGCAGUGCCUCUUCCAGAAAGGAAGGAAGUUUCUCCAGCUCUACCCCAAUGGAUCCGUUGAGAGUUCACAUUACCUUCAGCAGUGACCCCCACAAGGCAAUGCGACGGCUGCCCUUUCUCCCCUGCACACAGCUCUGGCCCCCUCACUGCCCUCCCUCCUGUCAGUGGCUGCUCAAGCAGGCAUGCAAUGAGCCACCAGCCUGGGGAACUAAAACAUGACAUUUCAGCACUAAAAUUCAAAAUCCAUUUCCUUUCCUUGCUUUACUAUGAGUAAGCCCCAGCUCACCGCAUAGCUGUAUGAAUGCUGACACAAGGGAUGAGGUGCCAGAGGAUAAGAAUGAAUGGCCAGGGUUUCAAGGAUGCUCAGAGUGCCUGGGAAACUACAGAUCCCUUGUUCCCCCGUUUCUGUGAGCACAGUGAGCAGGAAGCAGUGCAACUGUGUCUGUGGGUCACAGGAAGAAGCACACUGACCCUGCAGCUCUCUCCAGCUCUGAUCUGAGCAGCUGGAGCUGACUCAGAGCUCUUGAUGCUGGUACUUAGUUUGUCAUUAGAAAACACAGUCAUUUGCUGCUUGACAAGCGGGGGGACAGAUGGAUGGAUGGACACUAUGCAUGGGGCUGAAAUAAUCUUUCCAUGGAUUUUAACCCCAUUAUGGUUUUUGGUGGCCAUGCUACUUCAAAGAAACAUAGAAUAUCCCAGGUUGGAAUGGACCCAGGGGGACCGUUGAGUCCAACUCCUGUCCCUUCACAGUACCACACAAAAAAUCAGACCACACGACUGAGAACACUAUCCAAACGCUCCUUGAACUCCAGCACUCAGGGCCGUGCCCACCGCCCUGUGGUGCAGCCCCUUUCCCUCACCCCCAGCUGCCCCUCCCCUGACAGCUCCAUGCCGUUCCCUCGGGCCCUGUCGCUGUCACACAGAGCAGAGCUCAGCACUGCCCUCCACUCCCUGUGAGGAGCUGCAGCCGCCAUGAGGCCUUCCCUCAGCUCCUCUGCUCUGGGUCGAACACUCCUAAGGGCCUCAGCUUCUCUUCAUGUCUUCCCCUCUAGAGCCCUCACCAUCCCUGUCUCCUUCAGGGAUCCUGGUUUAACUCUGUGAGGAAGAGCUAAAGCAGACUGCUCAUCUUCCCAGUGGUUUCAGGUCCUCAUUUAACCUUUAUGCUUUCUAAACUGGGCAAGCUCACCAAGCUGGUGAAGAGCAUGAUGGACAUGUGAACCAAGCGGUUUUGGCCAUAGCCAAAGAGACUUCUUCCACAAGAAAGCAGCACUUUCAUCCCUCAGCUUGUGUAGGGAGGAAAAGGAAGGUGAGGCAGCGUGGUGCUUCUCCCUGGGAACUAGCAGGAAGCGGUCAUGUGGCAAUUCAUUCUUUUAUGGAAACUGUUUUUUCUCUGAAGUUAGGGGUUGUGACAGUGUUCAAAGACUCACCGUCUUAUCAACAGCACUUCUGCUUCUUUACCAGUCUUCUGGUAGAAUACUAGAACAAAUUACAAAAGUCACUGUAGUGAAAUACAAGCUCAAAGUGGCAAGGGACUACUAUGGUGGAACCGCAUCAGGAAGGCGAGGGCUGCUUUGAAAGUAAUGCCUCCUAUUUCAUUAGGUUGGCUCAUGACAUCACAGGCAGAUGUUGGUGGGAUGGCAGUAGAGGUUGAACCUUCCUGCCAACAUCCCAUUAUAUUUUGUUGCUGGGAGGGAACAGAGGGGCAGUCUGACAGAAUGGCGUCUGAUAUGGGAGCACGGAUGGAGCAAACAUGUUAUCGAACUCCUCCAUGCAGAAAAAAUUGCACCCACUGAUACUCAUUAAGUCUUGCUGAAUGUUUCUGGAGGCCAAACAGUGGAUGUGAGCACAGUGAGAGGUGGGUGGUGCAUUUCAGCAGUGGUGACAGUGGGUCACCUCCACUGGUGCAGACUGAUACAAGCACGGCAUGCAGGCUCUUGUUCAUCACUGGCAAAAAUGCAUAGCUAAUGGGGGUGGCUGUGUUGAAAAAUAGUGUUCUGUAGCUGAGUAUUUCCUCCAUCAAACAGUGCCGUUGAGCUCUUUGUAUGGCUUGUAGUUUCCAUGGAAAUAAAUAGGAGGCAUUACUUUCAGAGAGAACUAUGUACUCUCUAUGUAUUAUACUGUAUAUUUGGGCUCAGUUCUACAAAACUCAGCCUAUACUUGUCAGGAGCAUGAGAGAGGUGAUACACAUUGGGGUUGGAAUCCAGGAGUGCAGAGACAGCCUCCGGGGUAGCAUUAGCACAAAGGAGAGAGAAGAUUGUGGCAUUCUGAUAGAUACAUGCCAUGGAAAUGUCAUUUUUGUACUGGGCAACAGUGAGAAAGGAGAGUACUGGGAAUUAUUAGGAAGGGACUAGAAACCAGGGCAAUGCCAUAAGACUGUAUGCGGCACCCCACGCCAUGAACAGGGCACGGAGAUCCCUUCCCCUGUCUUAAAAAUAGGAUCAGUUCAACAAAGGACUAAAUGAUAUGGCUGCUGCUCAUGGCAUCAGUUGAAAGGUCAGAAAAACUGGGAGGGGGAACACAAGCCUAUCAAAAAAGAAUUCCUGUGGAGAAAACAAAUAGGACAUGGUUGCUGUAUCUUCCAGUACAAGAACCAGCAGGGCCUUCCUGCCGACUGGACAGUGGCUCAAUGGCAAUGGACAAAACGGUCUUCAGUCCAGCAAUCUGUGGAACUCCCUGCCAGAGUGCACGCAGAAAGGACAAGAUAACUAGGCCAAGUAACGAAACCAACCCGCUGUCACUACACCUUGGUGUAAAUCCAAGGCCAAAGCUCGCUGCACACCUCUGAUGCCACCAGCCCUGUGCCUUCUUCCUCUGCAGAGAACACAGCGCUCUGCCCUCGGCCCGGGUUUGCCAUCUUGGUAACAACACUCAGUGAAAAUGCAGC